This 400-nucleotide ribosomal RNA is filed under the name uncultured bacterium. RNAcentral describes it as "bacterial SSU rRNA". It matches the Rfam family "Bacterial small subunit ribosomal RNA", at positions 355 to 752 of the family's 1533-position model. The record is from RNAcentral.
UAAGGAAUAUUGGGCAAUGGACGCAAGUCUGACCCAGCCAUGCCGCGUGAAGGAUGAAGGCCCUCUGGGUUGUAAACUUCUUUUAUCUGGGGCGAAAGGCGGUUAUUCUUAGCCGUUUGACAGUACCAGAGGAAUAAGCACCGGCUAACUCCGUGCCAGCAGCCGCGGUAAUACGGAGGGUGCAAGCGUUAUCCGGAUUCACUGGGUUUAAAGGGUGCGUAGGUGGGUCUGUAAGUCAGAGGUGAAAUCCCCGAGCUUAACUUGGGAACUGCCUUUGAUACUAUAGGUCUUGAAUAUCGUGGAGGUAAGCGGAAUAUGUCAUGUAGCGGUGAAAUGCAUAGAGAUGACAUAGAACACCAAUUGCGAAGGCAGCUUGCUACACGAUGAUUGACACUGAGGC